This 250-nucleotide ribosomal RNA is filed under the name uncultured bacterium. RNAcentral's name for it is "partial 16S ribosomal RNA". It matches the Rfam family "Bacterial small subunit ribosomal RNA", at positions 524 to 773 of the family's 1533-position model. The record is from RNAcentral.
UACGUAGGGUGCGAGCGUUAAUCGGAAUUACUGGGCGUAAAGCGUGCGCAGGCGGUGCUGUAAGACCGAUGUGAAAUCCCCGGGCUUAACCUGGGAACUGCAUUGGUGACUGCAGCGCUGGAGUAUGGCAGAGGGGGGUGGAAUUCCACGUGUAGCAGUGAAAUGCGUAGAGAUGUGGAGGAACACCGAUGGCGAAGGCAGCCCCCUGGGCCAAUACUGACGCUCAUGCACGAAAGCGUGGGGAGCAAAC